RNAcentral lists this long non-coding RNA (305 nucleotides) under Olea europaea (common olive). Its description in RNAcentral is "long non-coding RNA (OEUR_LNC011703)". The record is from RNAcentral. Lineage: Eukaryota; Viridiplantae; Streptophyta; Magnoliopsida; Lamiales; Oleaceae.
CUCACAAUUGAAUUAAUGCCGAAAAAUAUACAGGAACAGAUCUGAAGAAUUCAAGGAUCAUUUGAUUGAAAUCGCGAGAGAAAAAGUAGAAGAGAAAAAAUCUGCCAAGUGAAGAAAAUUGAACCAUGCUGGAGUAACAGGGGGAUUGACCGCCCCCGACAGAACCCCACUAAUAGGGAGGUGGGGCCCUUUUUUGGCAUAGGACCCACCCCAAUUGGUGGGGUCUAUCAAGGGGGCAGUCAGCCCCCUUGUUACACCAGGAAUUUCCAAGAAAAUGAAUAUUGAAAGUGAAGUCUCUCUCUCUU